RNAcentral lists this long non-coding RNA (1553 nucleotides) under Coffea arabica (coffee). Its description in RNAcentral is "long non-coding RNA (CARA_LNC002992)". The record is from RNAcentral. Lineage: Eukaryota; Viridiplantae; Streptophyta; Magnoliopsida; Gentianales; Rubiaceae.
UUUGAUUUGUUAAAAACAUUUGUUGGGAUAUGCAACUUUUCUUACAUAUUUUGCUAGAUUAUGUUUAAUAUCAAAAUAAUUUAGUUAUUAGAAAAAUAAGGAUAUUUGUUAACCAAAGAUCACGUUGGUUUGUUAACAGAUAUUUUAGAUAAGAUUUGCUAGUAGAAGGAGAUUAUAUUUUGUUGAAAUUUUUAGGAUAAUUGUUAGUGGGAUAUUUUGUUAGUUUGUUUCAUGUAAUCACUAUAAAUAGUGAGUUGAUGAAUGUAAAACAUAAGCUCAUUUUUCACCUUCAAUACAAGUCUCUUAUAAGCUUUUUUUGCAACAUUAAGGUGUUGUUUCUUAGUUCAUGCCUCCAAAAAAAUCAACAAAGUGGUAUCAAGAACCUAUAUCUUAAGGGCUUGAGUCUUUUUUUUUAGAGUGAUGCAUUGGUGAGGAUCCAUUAUAAGUUCAAAGCCAUGACAGGAAAGAACUUUUUGUCAAAUGUUUCAACUUUUAGUGGUGAAACUUACCAAAUUUGGGCCAUAAAAUUUUGGACUUAUUUGGUAGUCAAUGAUCUACGGGAUAUGGUGGAGACGAAUUUUGUUUCAUCAGCAUUUGAAGAGCUGAUGGAUACACAAAUUAUAGAUCAUAAAGUUGCAGUUAGACAGAGAUCCAAGACCAGCAUUCACAUAUCAGUUUUUGAUGCCGUUUUCACAAAGAUAAUGGCUAAUGAUUUGAUUGAGAAUAAAUUAUUCUCAAUUAAAAUAAAAAGGAGAAGUUUCACUAUGAAUUGGUCAGAUUUUGACAAUUCUAAAGUGGAACAUGAUGAUGAAAUCAAGAAUUCAGAUCCUGAAAAAAUUCAGGAGGAGAUCAUUGAUAAGUCAGGAGAUAUCAAAUUGAUUCCUGAUAUUUAUCAAGAGUAUAACAUUUCUGUUUUUGAGUUUACAGAUUUUGAUGGUGAUGACAAAAUGAAGAACCAUGCAGAAUUUCAUAUUUUCUGUAUAGGUUCAAAUGUCGUCAAAGGAUGUUCCACUUUAAACCUAUGAGAAGGUUAUUAUAAAAAAAAAUCAUCUUUUAUGUGGAGUUUGGCACGAGAAGAUAAAAGAAGUGGUUCGUUGCAAGACUAAUAUUUAACUUGCAUAAAAACCCAAAGGAAGAAGUUCAUUGCAAGGCUAAUCAUCAAUUGCAAAGUUUCUUACAAAAGUCUCGUCCAAAACAAGAUUCAAAGAUUUAAGAAGAUAAUUCAAAAUCUGCAGCAAAAGUGGCAAGGAGGAGUGUUGGGAUAUGCAACUUUUCCUACAUAUUUUGCUAGAUUAUGUUUAAUAUCAAAAUAAUUUAGUUAUUAGAAAAAUUAGGAUAUUUGUUAACUAAAGAUCACGUUGGUUUGUUAACGGAUAUUUUAGAUAAGAUUUGCUAGUAGAAGGAGAUUAUAUUUUGUUGAAAUUUUUAGGAUAAUUGUUAGUGGGAUAUUUUGUUAGUUUGUUUCAUGUAAUCACUAUAAAUAGUGAGUUGAUGAAUGUAAAACAUAAGCUCAUUUUCCACCUUCAAUACAAGUCUCUUAUAAGCUUUUUUUG